GAUCAUGGCUCAGGACGAACGCUGGCGGCGUGCUUAACACAUGCAAGUCGAACGAGAAUCUGCUGAAGGAGGAUUCGUCCAACGGAAGUAGAGGAAAGUGGCGGACGGGUGAGUAACGCGUGAGGAACCUGCCUUGAAGAGGGGGACAACAGUUGGAAACUACUGCUAAUACCGCAUGAUGCAUAGAUGUCGCAUGAUUCUUUAUGACCAAAGUAUUUAUCGCUUCAAGA
This 230-nucleotide ribosomal RNA is filed under the name uncultured bacterium. Its description in RNAcentral is "partial 16S ribosomal RNA". It matches the Rfam family "Bacterial small subunit ribosomal RNA", at positions 15 to 225 of the family's 1533-position model. The record is from RNAcentral.